GGGGCUGUAGCUCAGUGGUAGAGUGCUUGCCUUGUACGUAUGAGGCACUGGGUUCGAUCCCCAGAACCACA
This 71-nucleotide transfer RNA is filed under the name Marmota monax (woodchuck). It matches the Rfam family "tRNA". Rfam says of the family: Transfer RNA (tRNA) molecules are approximately 80 nucleotides in length. Their secondary structure includes four short double-helical elements and three loops (D, anti-codon, and T loops). The record is from Rfam by way of RNAcentral. Lineage: Eukaryota; Metazoa; Chordata; Mammalia; Rodentia; Sciuridae.